Molecule: long non-coding RNA, 1500 nt
Filed under: Callithrix jacchus (white-tufted-ear marmoset)
Lineage: Eukaryota; Metazoa; Chordata; Mammalia; Primates; Cebidae
Description: lncRNA (ENSCJAG00000087342.1)
Rfam family: 7SK RNA (bases 522-782)
Source: RNAcentral
GCAGCUGUCUGCAGAGCCCCACGCCUGCCACACAGUGAGUCACAGCGCCAGCUCCCACUGCCUGCCUCUAUUUUUAUGUCAGGGCCUGCUCAUAUCUGACUCGUUAACUAAGCCUUCCAGCUGGUGGAGGGGAAUCUGAUGGCAGCGGAUGAGGACGGAGGGAAUAAUUUAUAAGUCUACAUAGGAAUUAUAAAGCAAUCCCUCUCUCUUAUCAGGAGCUCUUCGCCUUUUAAUAACCAGGCGCUUUCAGCUGCUGCUCUACAGGAUUGAGGGGAGUUGCCAGCCCUCUCAGCAGUAAUCAGGGUUCUGAAAAGGAGAACAGCGAGUCAACCAGAACAACCACCUGGGCCUUGGCACCAAAGGGUGGUAGCAGCUGCAGGAGGGGCUCAGGGAAGUUGUGCUAAUAGGCACUUAAAUGUGACACCCACAUAAUAAGGCUCCUGGUGGGGACUGCUGCUAUUGGUGCACAUAGCAGACGAUCAGAGCAAAUGACAGGCACGUGGCGGGGGCUUCCAUUCUGUAGAGGGUUGAUUCAGAUGGGUUGACACCUGCUGCCUUAGGCAGGCGUCCCUUUCCUCCCUCACUGCUCCCUGUGGAUCUCUCCUGAAGCUGCAUGCUGGGUGGAAGAGGAGGAUCUUCCCUGAUAGAGGACAACUGUUCCAUGGUCAAGUGUAUACCACUUGCCUGCUAGAACCUCAGAACAAGCUCAAUCCAGAAGGUGAAUGUUGAAUAUGUGUAUCCUGUUGCCUUCAAAGUGCUCGGAAGAGGGGAAUUCGGAUUUUCUCUUGCUGAGAAGAACUUGGGAAGCACAUUUGGAGAGAAAAGAAGCUGUAGCUCAGUCCUCUCACCAACAGCUGAUGUGAUCUCAAGAGAGCUGCACUGCCCACAGUGGAGACUCCACAAAUCACAGCUAAAUCCUCCAAGACGACUCGGCUGUGGAAUCCUAAUGAAGAAUGCAGUGGGUAACUACAGAGGGAAGAGUUUAUGAGACUCCAGGUGGCAAGAAAAAAUGGGCAUGAGUGUCUAAAGAAAGAAAGGUGCUUUCUGCCCUUGAUUAUUAAACACCAUGCUAACUAGUAUAAAAUAAUCUCUUAACUCUUUCUCAUGAAAGUUUCAAAAGAUUUUCUCCUAUGUCAGGAGCUUAUGCCACAUCCUCUCCAGAGGUGGAAGCCGAGAGCCUUGCCUUGGCUGUGGGGGUGGUGAGGAGCUGAAAGAGGAAUCUUAGGAGGGUAUUCCGUGUGGAUUUGUGUCACUGCCCUUUUCAUUAAUGACUCCAAGAAGGAGCUGCAAGUACCACAGGCUCCAGAUCUUCAGGUGUGGCCUGAAAGUGUUUCGUGCCUGCAGUCUCAGCUACUCGGGAGGCUGAGGAGGGUCACUUCAGGCCAGGAGUUUGAGGCUGCAGUGAGUUAGUGUCACCCCGCUGCAUUCUAGCCUCGGUGACAGAGUGAGACCUCAUUUCUUUUUUUUUUUUCCUAGAUAGCUUCAGGAGGCACCUGAUUU